Vigna radiata var. radiata (mung bean) is the source of this 1797-nucleotide long non-coding RNA. RefSeq lists it as uncharacterized. The transcript is spliced from 2 exons. NCBI's taxonomy places the organism in Eukaryota, Viridiplantae, Streptophyta, Magnoliopsida, Fabales, Fabaceae. The record is from RefSeq and is a predicted model, not a curated record.
UCUCAACUCCAAGAGACCUAGGGUCUCUCCUUCACCCUGCCGGUAAACCCAGAGGCACCAACACCAACCGGCCGGCCACCGCGAGUCUCUGUUCAAACCAUCGACGAUGCCUAUGCUCGUCGCAGGCCACGACGCCUGGCUCUCCUCCCUCCCUUCUCAUCUUCACGCGCGAGAAGGAUGUGCUCCUGCCUUUCGUUAGUCGCUUCUUGGGAGAUCCCAGCCACCACCAGCCGGAGCGUCACUGGUCCUCGCCAGGGUCGCCGCCGCUGAAACUGGUCGCUGCCGCCUCCCGAUCACGAACCAGGGGUGCGCCGGCGACGCGACUCGCUGCCGGAGCCGUCGCCACUCAAUCCAAGGUAUCGUCGGCAACACCAACCAUCAACAAGACCAGUCUGCGCGAGGGAGAGAAGAACCGUUGCUUCUAUAAAUCUAGUCUCCACCACAACGAACGAAUCCUGCCAUCGCAACCGGCGCGCGUGACUCUUUUCUCCUUCUUUCUAUCGUAGUCGCCGCCACCAGAGAGACGAAAACUGCCGCCACCGAGGCCACCACUAGUGUGGUUCCGCGGUUUGUGUAUCAAACAAAACAGCCACUUUGGUUCGUCGAGACAAUGUUCGAGGGUUUCGGAUUUUUAUUCUGAUACGGUGGUUUGGUGCUUGGAUUGUUUCAAAGGACAAACUUUAAACCUAUGGGCAUGGGAUUUGUGAUCUGGGUUUGUUCAGAUUGAAGAAGACUUAUGGUUUGGCUAGAGGAAGUUGUUUCGGUUUUCUGUUCUUUUCUAUUCUGGAAAUGCAUCUAAUUCUGCUUCUACAUUUUUCUAUAGUGUUUUCUGGGUACAAGUAGAGGGUAUUGAAAUCAUGAUGUUGGAGAACAUGUACCUAGUCUCUACUGUUAGUGAUACAUGAUGAAUCUUGCAGGUAUUUGAUUAAACGAUGAUGUCAUGAAGAGAACACUACUAUAUUAUUAAUCAAGCAUCAUUCAUUCAUAUUCAGACAUGGCAUGUAACAGGGGAACGGACAGUCGCAUAAGACCAAAUCCGAGAAGCUUAGAUAGGGAGAAGCUUAGAUAGGGCCACUUACCUCCGUAGCUUCAAUAGAAUUCUCCCGGGUGAAGGCAAAUGGUCCUCCUUUUCCCUGGCCGUAAGGUAUCUUCCUCCCAGAUUGUGACGAUAGGUAAAUGGUGAUGAGUUUCCAAUGCUCAAGCUCCGAUGAUGAGGUGCUUGAAACUGAAUCCUCUGGUGAAGGUCCUCUUGUGGUAAUGAGAUAUUGCAGAUAAUGAAAUAUUGCCGAUGAACAAUUGGGAGUGAAAGGGAAAUAUCAUUGGAGUGGUUACGAGUGAGAGGAGCCAAGAGAGUCCAGAGCAAGAGGGAGUCUCUGUUAAGUGAGUAGAGAGCGAAUAGAGAGAGUUGCGUAGUGUGUGAGUGAAAAUGAUAAUGGUGCUUCUCCUUUCUGUAUGAUGAGUGCAUAUCCCUUCUGACUUGGGAUUUCUUUUGUUUUUUUUCCUUCUUCAUGUGUUAAGGGGAUCAAUCGGCGAAAGCCAUUCAAAUUUCCUUUCCCCUGACACAACUUUGCAUAUAGACUUUUUAGCAAGAGCAACAAAGACGUUUUCUUACUGUCAUUGUAUGAGAUAUUUUGAGCAUUACUGUGUAAACGUUGCAGGAGGGACACUCCUCUGUGUUAAGCCUGCCUUUUGUGAUAUUCUGCAGUGGACUGUGAUACGCUGCAGGAAAGAGAGCUGAACUUGUGCUUGCUCAGACUGCAAAGGGGAAGCACGAAGUUUGCCAUUCCCAGAUUGCUA